GACGAACGCUGGCGGCGUGCUUAACACAUGCAAGUCGAACGGAAAGGCCCUGCUUUUGUGGGGUGCUCGAGUGGCGAACGGGUGAGUAACACGUGAGUAACCUGCCCUUGACUUUGGGAUAACUUCAGGAAACUGGGGCUAAUACCGGAUAGGAGCUCCUGCUGCAUGGUGGGGGUUGGAAAGUUUCGGCGGUUGGGGAUGGACUCGCGGCUUAUCAGCUUGUUGGUGGGGUAGUGGCUUACCAAGGCUUUGACGGGUAGCCGGCCUGAGAGGGUGACCGGCCACAUUGGUACUGAGAUACGGCCCAGACUCCUACGGGAGGCAGCGGUGGGGAAUAUGGCGCAAUGGGCGGAAGCCUGAUGCAGCAACGCCGCGUGCGGGAUGACGGCCUUCGGGUUGUAAACCGCUUUCGCCUGUGACGAAGCGUGAGUGACGGUAAUGGGUAAAGAAGCACCGGCUAACUACGUG
This 468-nucleotide ribosomal RNA is filed under the name uncultured bacterium. Its description in RNAcentral is "partial 16S ribosomal RNA". It matches the Rfam family "Bacterial small subunit ribosomal RNA", at positions 28 to 507 of the family's 1533-position model. The record is from RNAcentral.